This 561-nucleotide ribosomal RNA is filed under the name uncultured Glomus. RNAcentral's name for it is "SSU rRNA". It matches the Rfam family "Eukaryotic small subunit ribosomal RNA", at positions 548 to 1103 of the family's 1831-position model. Lineage: Eukaryota; Fungi; Glomeromycota; Glomeromycetes; Glomerales; Glomeraceae. The record is from RNAcentral.
UUGGAGGGCAAGUCUGGUGCCAGCAGCCGCGGUAAUUCCAGCUCCAAUAGCGUAUAUUAAAGUUGUUGCAGUUAAAAAGCUCGUAGUUGAGUUUCGGGAUUGACGUGAUGGUCAUGCCUUAAGGGGUAUGAACUGUUACUGUUGAUUUCUCACCUUCUGGAGAAACUUGAUGUCCUUUAUUGGGUGUCUUGCGGAUCCAGGACCUUUACCUUGAAAAAAUUAGAGUGUUUAAAGCAGGCAUUUUUGCUCGAAUACAUUAGCAUGGAAUAAUAGAAUAGGACGGCAUGGUUCUAUUUUGUUGGCUUCUAGGAUCACCGUAAUGAUUAAUAGGGAUAGUUGGGGGCAUUAGUAUUCAAUUGUCAGAGGUGAAAUUCUUGGAUUUAUUGAAGACUAACUACUGCGAAAGCAUCUGCCAAGGAUGUUUUCAUUAAUCAAGAACGAAAGUUAGGGGAUCGAAGACGAUCAGAUACCGUCGUAGUCUUAACCAUAAACUAUGCCGACUAGGAAUCAGACGAUGUUAAUUUUUUAAUGACUCGUUUGGCACCUUACGGGAAACCAAAG